This 165-nucleotide small RNA is filed under the name Rhodomonas sp. CCMP768. RNAcentral's name for it is "partial Betaproteobacteria transfer-messenger RNA". Lineage: Eukaryota; Cryptophyceae; Pyrenomonadales; Pyrenomonadaceae. The record is from RNAcentral.
AUGAUGGAAAGCAGGGAUGGUUUUCAUUGAGGGCCGUCCGAAGGUCGACUGGGCCCGUCACCUGCAUCACCACCAAGGACUAGAUCCGGAGUGCUUUGUGCUUUUCUCGUCGGCAUCCUCUGGGUUCGGCAGCGCGGGUGAGGCCGCAGACGCAGCGGCUGGCGA